RNAcentral lists this ribosomal RNA (1439 nucleotides) under uncultured organism. RNAcentral's name for it is "16S ribosomal RNA". It matches the Rfam family "Bacterial small subunit ribosomal RNA". The record is from RNAcentral.
CAGGCUUAACACAUGCAAGUCGAGGGGCAGCAUUUUAGUUUGCUUGCAAACUGAAGAUGGCGACCGGCGCACGGGUGAGUAACACGUAUCCAACCUGCCGAUAACUCCGGAAUAGCCUUUCGAAAGAAAGAUUAAUACCGGAUAGCAUACGAAUAUCGCAUGAUAUUUUUAUUAAAGAAUUUCGGUUAUCGAUGGGGAUGCGUUCCAUUAGUUUGUUGGCGGGGUAACGGCCCACCAAGACAACGAUGGAUAGGGGUUCUGAGAGGAAGGUCCCCCACAUUGGAACUGAGACACGGUCCAAACUCCUACGGGAGGCAGCAGUGAGGAAUAUUGGUCAAUGGGCGAGAGCCUGAACCAGCCAAGUAGCGUGAAGGAUGAAGGCUCUAUGGGUCGUAAACUUCUUUUAUAUGGGAAUAAAGUUUUCCACGUGUGGAAUUUUGUAUGUACCAUAUGAAUAAGGAUCGGCUAACUCCGUGCCAGCAGCCGCGGUAAUACGGAGGAUCCGAGCGUUAUCCGGAUUUAUUGGGUUUAAAGGGAGCGUAGGUGGAUUGUUAAGUCAGUUGUGAAAGUUUGCGGCUCAACCGUAAAAUUGCAGUUGAAACUGGCAGUCUUGAGUACAGUAGAGGUGGGCGGAAUUCGUGGUGUAGCGGUGAAAUGCUUAGAUAUCACGAAGAACUCCGAUUGCGAAGGCAGCUCACUAGACUGUCACUGACACUGAUGCUCGAAAGUGUGGGUAUCAAACAGGAUUAGAUACCCUGGUAGUCCACACAGUAAACGAUGAAUACUCGCUGUUUGCGAUAUACAGUAAGCGGCCAAGCGAAAGCAUUAAGUAUUCCACCUGGGGAGUACGCCGGCAACGGUGAAACUCAAAGGAAUUGACGGGGGCCCGCACAAGCGGAGGAACAUGUGGUUUAAUUCGAUGAUACGCGAGGAACCUUACCCGGGCUUAAAUUGCAACAGAAUAUAUUGGAAACAGUAUAGCCGUAAGGCUGUUGUGAAGGUGCUGCAUGGUUGUCGUCAGCUCGUGCCGUGAGGUGUCGGCUUAAGUGCCAUAACGAGCGCAACCCUUAUCUUUAGUUACUAACAGGUCAUGCUGAGGACUCUAGAGAGACUGCCGUCGUAAGAUGUGAGGAAGGUGGGGAUGACGUCAAAUCAGCACGGCCCUUACGUCCGGGGCUACACACGUGUUACAAUGGGGGGUACAGAAGGCAGCUACCUGGCGACAGGAUGCUAAUCCCAAAAACCUCUCUCAGUUCGGAUCGAAGUCUGCAACCCGACUUCGUGAAGCUGGAUUCGCUAGUAAUCGCGCAUCAGCCAUGGCGCGGUGAAUACGUUCCCGGGCCUUGUACACACCGCCCGUCAAGCCAUGAAAGCCGGGGGUACCUGAAGUACGUAACCGCAAGGAGCGUCCUAGGGUAAAACUGGUAAUUGGGGCUAAG